RNAcentral lists this ribosomal RNA (791 nucleotides) under uncultured bacterium. Its description in RNAcentral is "bacterial SSU rRNA". It matches the Rfam family "Bacterial small subunit ribosomal RNA", at positions 555 to 1346 of the family's 1533-position model. The record is from RNAcentral.
UGGGCGUAAAGCGCGCGUAGGCGGUUUCUUAAGUCUGAUGUGAAAGCCCCCGGCUCAACCGGGGAGGGUCAUUGGAAACUGGGGAACUUGAGUGCAGAAGAGGAGAGUGGAAUUCCAUGUGUAGCGGUGAAAUGCGCAGAGAUAUGGAGGAACACCAGUGGCGAAGGCGGCUCUCUGGUCUGUAACUGACGCUGAUGUGCGAAAGCGUGGGGAUCAAACAGGAUUAGAUACCCUGGUAGUCCACGCCGUAAACGAUGAGUGCUAAGUGUUAGGGGGUUUCCGCCCCUUAGUGCUGCAGCAAACGCAUUAAGCACUCCGCCUGGGGAGUACGACCGCAAGGUUGAAACUCAAAGGAAUUGGCGGGGACCCGCACAAGCGGUGGAGCAUGUGGUUUAAUUCGAAGCAACGCGAAGAACCUUACCAAAUCUUGACAUCCUCUGACCGCCAUGGAGACAUGGCUUCCCUUCGGGGCAGAGAGACAGGUGGUGCAUGGUUGUCGUCAGCUCGUGUCGUGAGAUGUUGGGUUAAGUCCCGCAACGAGCGCAACCCUUAAACUUAGUUGCCAGCAUUCAGUUGGGCACUCUAAGUUGACUGCCGGUGACAAACCGGAGGAAGGUGGGGAUGACGUCAAAUCAUCAUGCCCCUUAUGAUUUGGGCUACACACGUGCUACAAUGGACAGGUAACAAAGGGCAGCGACGCCGCAAGGCCAAGCGAAUCCCAUAAAACUGUUCUCAGUUCGGAUUGGAGUCUGCAACUCGACUCCAUGAAGCUGGAAUCGCUAGUAAUCGUG